GGAGAUUAACAAGUUUAAUUUCCUUUCAUGGUUCAUAGAACCAAUAAAUGCAUGAGUGGAAAUAUACCGCAACAGAGUUCCAAUACUGCCUAAAACUCAAAUUCAAGUUCAGACUUGCACAUUACCCAGCUCUACACACAGUAGUCCCCUGUGAGCACACUGCUUCUAAUUAAAUGUGAAAGAUGCUAAGGCCACGUGCUCUUAGGGUAAUUGUGUUGUAGUUACACAAAGGAUUAAGUUAGCUCUCAUAGUAACAUACAAAGAGUCCUUAAAUAAAAGGCUCUACAAAGUAAACUUUGCUAAUCAUCAUCAGUGGAGAUACAGGAGUAUUUGUCCUCCCAUGCGUAUGCCCUGUAGAAAGGAUGUGGAUUUUCUUUUACAGUACUUUUUACUGGUACUUCAAAACAAAACAAUGGAAGUGCUUCAUUCUUAAACAAACCCAGUUGACUGAAGUUACCGGAGCAAGAAAUCUGCUGUACAUAACUUGGCCCCAGCUCUGCUCAGUCUGCACACGUGGAAGGGAGCGGUGAGGAGCUGUGUGACACUGCGUGUAGGCACCACAUCUGAGGAAACCCUUUGCAAGGGUGGCUGUUGCCAAGCUGGCAGGAGGUGAGGCCGGACACCUACUCAAACAAAAAGUCAGGAAAACUUGAAAGAAAAGAAACCUCCCGUUUUCAAGCAAUUAGUGAUUAAAUCAUAAGAAUAUCAUUGCAUUCCACCCAAGGCAAGCAUUCUCGUAUUUCUUGCUUCACGCAGGAAGAGGGAGCAAGCACAAAGGUUUGACUAAAUAAAGUUCAGCUUUUGCCCAGCUGAGCUUUGUGCAGUUUGUAAUGGUACUUACAGCGAGCUGUUUGCAUAUAGGUUGGUUUGUUUCACAGCAAGUCUAGAUACGUAGAUGCUUUGUUACCUCCUUUCCAUCUUGCCAUGAGAACUGCUCAUAGCAACAAUCUUACUACAGAAAGUAACUUGCAUUUCAGAACCCCUGUUUUUACGUCUGAAUUCUUCCACUCACGAGGCAGUAUUGGUGAAGGAAAUGCCCACUGCUGCUUAUAAAGUGCAUUUUCCUCUUGAGAACAGGUCUGACAGGCUGCUCAAGUGCCUCUUCAACCACAGGCAGCACCACAACUCU
RNAcentral lists this long non-coding RNA (1129 nucleotides) under Strigops habroptila (Kakapo). Its description in RNAcentral is "lncRNA (ENSSHBG00005014579.1)". Lineage: Eukaryota; Metazoa; Chordata; Aves; Psittaciformes; Psittacidae. The record is from RNAcentral.